RNAcentral lists this ribosomal RNA (253 nucleotides) under uncultured bacterium. Its description in RNAcentral is "partial 16S ribosomal RNA". It matches the Rfam family "Bacterial small subunit ribosomal RNA", at positions 524 to 776 of the family's 1533-position model. The record is from RNAcentral.
UACAGAGGUAGCGAGCGUUGUCCGGAUUUACUGGGCGUAAAGGGCUUGUAGGUUGCCUUUUAAGUCAGGUGUGAAAUCGUUCCGCUUAACGGAACAAUUGCAUUUGAUACUGAUUGGCUUGAGUGCAGGAAGGGAAACUGGAAUUUCCGGUGUAGCGGUGAAAUGCGUAGAGAUCGGAAAGAACACCAGUGGCGAAGGCGGGUUUCUGGCCUGCAACUGACACUGAGGAGCGAAAGCCAGGGGAGCAAACGGG